GGAGUAAAAGUUGUAACAAGGUUUCCGUAGGUGAACCUGCGGAAGGAUCAUUAUUGUAUAACCGAGGUGCGAGGGCUGUCGCUGACCCGAAAGGUCGUGCACGCCCGAGUGCCCUCACACACAUCCAUCUCACCCCUAUGUGCACCACCGCGUGGGUCCCCCUUUGGCUUGUUCGGAGGGGGGCUUACGUUUUCACACAAACUUUGUAUGCAGUGUAGAAUGUAUUUUUUGUUUUUGCGAUCACGCAAUCAAUACAACUUUCAACAACGGAUCUCUUGGCUCUC
RNAcentral lists this unclassified non-coding RNA (284 nucleotides) under plant metagenome. Its description in RNAcentral is "partial contains small subunit ribosomal RNA, internal transcribed spacer 1, and 5.8S ribosomal RNA". The stretch from base 1 to 53 matches the Rfam family "Eukaryotic small subunit ribosomal RNA", at positions 1779 to 1831 of the family's 1831-position model. The record is from RNAcentral.